Long non-coding RNA from Aedes albopictus (Asian tiger mosquito), 394 nucleotides. RefSeq lists it as uncharacterized. The record is from RefSeq and is a predicted model, not a curated record. The transcript is spliced from 2 exons. NCBI's taxonomy places the organism in Eukaryota, Metazoa, Arthropoda, Insecta, Diptera, Culicidae.
UGAUGAUCAAAACAAACUUGAAGAAAUACUCAAAAAUUGUAAACACAAACACUAAUGUAAAACACCCUGACACACACAAUAACGUUGAAAUGAAAUAUGAAAAGCAAUGGUGGAAGACAGCAAAACAAUGUGCCCGAAUUCGACCAGCGCAGAAUAUAGCGGAUUAUCCGACGCACAAACCGUCAAACUUAGUCGGACCAAGUCGAAGUGAGUACACUGAGAAAAACGUGACCACGAAAAUCUAGAAUUAACUAUUGACUCUUCCAGAAACAGACCAUUUUUUCAUAUGACAUUUUCACGUUAUACAAAACCAAUCUUGACGAAAAAACAGUAGCAAAUCGAACCCUUGAAAAAGAUCCCAAACGGAUCGAAACGUCGGGAAAGAUUUAAACAA